RNAcentral lists this long non-coding RNA (1195 nucleotides) under Notechis scutatus (mainland tiger snake). RNAcentral's name for it is "lncRNA (ENSNSUG00000004259.1)". The record is from RNAcentral. Lineage: Eukaryota; Metazoa; Chordata; Lepidosauria; Squamata; Elapidae.
CUCGCUGUCCGUAGGUCCACCUGGCCACCUUCCUCAACUUGGCCAGCGUGGUGGCGGGCUCGGUGGCCUUCACCCUGGGUUUGACGGACUUCCCCUCGCCGACGUACCAGCCCUACUUCGUCGAGCACCUUUGCAAGCGGAAUAGGGAGGAUCUGCGCUACGGUUCGUGGGGCAGGAUGGCGACCACCGACCUUCCGUAUGACGGGGACUCCGAGAGGGCCCGGCAGUGCGAGGAGACGCUCUGGUCGCUGGUGCGUCUGUGGAGUUGCACCCACAUCCUCCUGCUCGUCCUACACGUCGCCGCGCUCACCAUCGCUCUCUUCUGUUUCGGAUACGGCCUCCGUCGCCUGUGGAUCUCCUGCUUGGUAGGUCCAACGGAAGGACGUGGAGUCCCCCGUCCCCCCGCGGUUGUAAACACACGACCGCGACGGGCCCUCCGGAGGGCAAGGGGGCCUCCUUCUCCGGAGACCCGUCGUGGGGAGCGGAGUUGGGGUAGGGUUUGUCGUCGGUCCCCGGUACUCCGGGAAAAAAAUUGCGCCGCGUCGUAAGAAGAGCCGGCGCCGAUCGUUCGUAGAGCUCGCUCGGCGAGCGUUCAAACCCUUUGUCGUACUCCGCCCCGACGCGGAGCACCGGGCCGAGGGGUUUCCUCCCCCCCCCCUUGCGUCCCAAAGGAAAUGGGAUCCGCUUCACCGCCGGGUGUUUACGGACUUCUCCAACGCGGCGUGGAUUCGCUUACCGUCCGGCGGAGGUGGUCAAACGGGAUCCAAACACCCCGAAACGAAAGGAACGGUGGGCUUUGAGGGGACUCGUCCAUCGUCGGAGCGAACAGACGGGCGGCGGAAGGGUUUAAGGGCCGUCGUAAGGUCGUCGUAAGGUCGUCGUAAGCUGGGCUCACUUUUGCUUGCUCCUCACAGGGAUGUUUUCAGGAUUACGCGCCCGUCGUGGACCCAGACGAGUCCAAAGAGCUGGGCAAAGAGCCGAACGUCGUCUGAGCGGGCACGGCACGAAACCUGCACACACACACACACACACACCCCCCACUCCCCGGGGGGGGGGGAACCGAACGGCGUCCCCGCGCUUCCCGCCAGCCGCUCGGAGAACUCCGAGGCUCCGUCUUGUCGCGUCUCACGCUCUCUUCCUUUUUGCACACCCAAUGAUGAAUAAAAAAAAAAGUGGCAUUUCUGGAAUUCGGAAG